Molecule: small RNA, 99 nt
Filed under: Escherichia coli
Lineage: Bacteria; Pseudomonadati; Pseudomonadota; Gammaproteobacteria; Enterobacterales; Enterobacteriaceae
Also listed under: 1 other name
Description: partial RtT sRNA
Rfam family: RtT RNA
About the family: This family represents a bacterial cis-regulatory element known as RtT RNA. The exact function of RtT is unknown although it is thought that it may be involved in changing the cellular response in relation to amino acid starvation.
Source: RNAcentral
GGCAGGGAGGUUCGACUCGAGCGAAGCGAGAGAACGUUGCGCCAGCAACGGCCCGCAGGGCGAGCCACGAAGUGGCGAGUAAUCCUCUAUCACCGACCA